CCUUCGAUAGCUCAGCUGGUAGAGCGGAGGACUGUAGUAUAUAAGGAUAUAGUCAUCCUUAGGUCGCUGGUUCGAUUCCGGCUCGAAGGA
RNAcentral lists this transfer RNA (90 nucleotides) under Eschrichtius robustus (grey whale). It matches the Rfam family "tRNA". Rfam says of the family: Transfer RNA (tRNA) molecules are approximately 80 nucleotides in length. Lineage: Eukaryota; Metazoa; Chordata; Mammalia; Artiodactyla; Eschrichtiidae. The record is from Rfam by way of RNAcentral.